UUGAAAUAAACCUGAUAGGUUGUUGCUGGUUCUCUCGGGAGCAUGUGCACACUUGUCAUCUUUAUAUCUCCACCUGUGCACCUUUGUAAAUCUGAAUAUCUUUCUGAAUGCCUGGCAUUCAGGUUUGAGGAUUGAUCUUUUUCUUUCCUUACAUUUUUCAGGUUUAUGUUUUUCAUAUACCCCAAGUAUGUUAUAGAAUGUUAUAAACGGGCCUUUGUGCCUAUAAUAAACUUAUA
Molecule: unclassified non-coding RNA, 236 nt
Filed under: uncultured Cortinarius
Lineage: Eukaryota; Fungi; Basidiomycota; Agaricomycetes; Agaricales; Cortinariaceae
Description: sequence contains ITS1
Source: RNAcentral